ACACACAAAUCAAAUAGACGAAAGAAGAAGCAAGGA
This 36-nucleotide unclassified non-coding RNA is filed under the name Leishmania tarentolae. RNAcentral describes it as "guide RNA". The record is from RNAcentral. Lineage: Eukaryota; Euglenozoa; Kinetoplastea; Trypanosomatida; Trypanosomatidae.